This 343-nucleotide long non-coding RNA is filed under the name Parus major (Great Tit). Its description in RNAcentral is "lncRNA (ENSPMJG00000014949.1)". The record is from RNAcentral. Lineage: Eukaryota; Metazoa; Chordata; Aves; Passeriformes; Paridae.
CACGCUUAAAAAAAGAAAGCAGGUAUCUGGUUCUGGCUAGACCUUCAUGGAAUUUUUUCCUAUUUCUAAAUAAUUCCUAAGCUAAGACAUUCCAUGCAAAAUUUCAACCCAGGGGAGCUGUGUGCAUUCACACCAAGAACCAAUGAUAUAUCCCUUCUACCUCAGCAUGUAUUUAUUUCCAGUGGACUCCCAGGUGGAUCUUCCUGAAAAUACUUGGAACCAAAUGUUUAAAGGCUUGGGUGAAGAGGAAGAGGAUUCUGCUGUAGGAGAGGCAUCAGGAGAUGUUCUACAUGUAGAAGAUAGGAAGUUGCUUUUACUAGCAGGGACAUCUUGCUGUGCUGAG